RNAcentral lists this small nucleolar RNA (62 nucleotides) under Cicer arietinum (chickpea). RNAcentral describes it as "Small nucleolar RNA snoR101". It matches the Rfam family "Small nucleolar RNA snoR101". The record is from Rfam by way of RNAcentral. Lineage: Eukaryota; Viridiplantae; Streptophyta; Magnoliopsida; Fabales; Fabaceae.
GUUUUACACUUGAUCUCUGAACUUCGUAAGUUCAUGUGUUGACAAGUUCAUCCAUUGAUGCA